UACGAGGGGGGCAAAUGUUGUUCGGAAUUACUGGGCGUAAAGCGUGCGCAGGCGGUUUUGUAAGCCAGAUGUGAAAUCCCCGGGCUUAACCUGGGAAUGGCAUUUGGGACUGCAAGGUUGGAGUGUGGCAGAGGAGACUGGAAUUCCUGGUGUAGCAGUGAAAUGCGUAGAUAUCAGGAGGAAUACCGAUGGCGAAGGCAGGUCUCUGGGCUGACACUGACGCUCAUGCACGAAAGCGUGGGGAGCAAAC
This 250-nucleotide ribosomal RNA is filed under the name uncultured bacterium. RNAcentral's name for it is "partial 16S ribosomal RNA". It matches the Rfam family "Bacterial small subunit ribosomal RNA", at positions 524 to 773 of the family's 1533-position model. The record is from RNAcentral.